CCAAAUGCGUUGACGGGGAAAAAACGAUCUUCUUCUGCUUCAGAGAGCUGCCGGGUGGUGCAAGGCAGUGCGGAGGGUUUCGGCUACUGGCCCCUGAGCGGCAGAGCUGAACGGAGAGUAGGCUCUGACGGAUGCCCACCGUUACCGGGGCAGCGAUUCGCCGCCAAAAGCUGAUCGUGUGAGUGGCUGGUUUUCCAGCAAAGAGAGUGGUACCACGGGUGCUCUGUUAGAAAAAUGACAGGCCCUCGUCUCUCAA
RNAcentral lists this non-coding RNA (256 nucleotides) under Faecalibacterium prausnitzii. RNAcentral's name for it is "T-box sequence". It matches the Rfam family "T-box leader". Rfam says of the family: Uncharged tRNA acts as the effector for transcription antitermination of genes in the T-box leader family. The record is from RNAcentral. Lineage: Bacteria; Bacillati; Bacillota; Clostridia; Eubacteriales; Oscillospiraceae.